RNAcentral lists this ribosomal RNA (403 nucleotides) under uncultured bacterium. Its description in RNAcentral is "bacterial SSU rRNA". It matches the Rfam family "Bacterial small subunit ribosomal RNA", at positions 542 to 942 of the family's 1533-position model. The record is from RNAcentral.
UAUCCGGAAUUAUUGGGCGUAAAGGGCUCGUAGGCGGUUCGUCGCGUCCGGUGUGAAAGUCCAUCGCUUAACGGUGGAUCCGCGCCGGGUACGGGCGGGCUUGAGUGCGGUAGGGGAGACUGGAAUUCCCGGUGUAACGGUGGAAUGUGUAGAUAUCGGGAAGAACACCAAUGGCGAAGGCAGGUCUCUGGGCCGUCACUGACGCUGAGGAGCGAAAGCGUGGGGAGCGAACAGGAUUAGAUACCCUGGUAGUCCACGCCGUAAACGGUGGAUGCUGGAUGUGGGGACCAUUCCACGGUCUCCGUGUCGGAGCCAACGCGUUAAGCAUCCCGCCUGGGGAGUACGGCCGCAAGGCUAAAACUCAAAGAAAUCGACGGGGGCCCGCACAAGCGGCAGACCAUGC